AGCCCGGUAGUGUAGUGGUCAAUCAUGGAGGCCUCUGGAGCCUCUGACGGGAGUUCGAAUCUCCUCCGGGCUACCA
This 76-nucleotide transfer RNA is filed under the name Candidatus Bathyarchaeota archaeon. Its description in RNAcentral is "tRNA-Gln". It matches the Rfam family "tRNA". From Rfam's summary of the family: Transfer RNA (tRNA) molecules are approximately 80 nucleotides in length. RNAcentral also lists the same sequence under 1 other name. The record is from RNAcentral. Lineage: Archaea; Thermoproteati; Candidatus Bathyarchaeota.